This 1477-nucleotide ribosomal RNA is filed under the name Curtobacterium sp. BC2. RNAcentral's name for it is "bacterial SSU rRNA". It matches the Rfam family "Bacterial small subunit ribosomal RNA". Lineage: Bacteria; Bacillati; Actinomycetota; Actinomycetes; Micrococcales; Microbacteriaceae. The record is from RNAcentral.
UGAGUUUUUGACCUGGCUCAGGACGAACGCUGGCGGCGUGCUUAACACAUGCAAGUCGAACGAUGCAGCCCAGCUUGCUGGGUGGAUUAGUGGCGAACGGGUGAGUAACACGUGAGUAACCUGCCCCUGACUCUGGGAUAAGCGUUGGAAACGCACGUCUAAUACUGGAUAUGACCGCCGAUCGCAUGGUCUGGUGGUGGAAAGAUUUUUUGGUUGGGGAUGGACUCGCGGCCUAUCAGCUUGUUGGUGAGGUAAUGGCUCACCAAGGCGACGACGGGUAGCCGGCCUGAGAGGGUGACCGGCCACACUGGGACUGAGACACGGCCCAGACUCCUACGGGAGGCAGCAGUGGGGAAUAUUGCACAAUGGGCGAAAGCCUGAUGCAGCAACGCCGCGUGAGGGAUGACGGCCUUCGGGUUGUAAACCUCUUUUAGUAGGGAAGAAGCGUAAGUGACGGUACCUGCAGAAAAAGCACCGGCUAACUACGUGCCAGCAGCCGCGGUAAUACGUAGGGUGCAAGCGUUGUCCGGAAUUAUUGGGCGUAAAGAGCUCGUAGGCGGUUUGUCGCGUCUGCUGUGAAAUCCCGAGGCUCAACCUCGGGCUUGCAGUGGGUACGGGCAGACUAGAGUGCGGUAGGGGAGAUUGGAAUUCCUGGUGUAGCGGUGGAAUGCGCAGAUAUCAGGAGGAACACCGAUGGCGAAGGCAGAUCUCUGGGCCGUAACUGACGCUGAGGAGCGAAAGCGUGGGGAGCGAACAGGAUUAGAUACCCUGGUAGUCCACGCCGUAAACGUUGGGCGCUAGAUGUAGGGACCUUUCCACGGUUUCUGUGUCGUAGCUAACGCAUUAAGCGCCCCGCCUGGGGAGUACGGCCGCAAGGCUAAAACUCAAAGGAAUUGACGGGGGCCCGCACAAGCGGCGGAGCAUGCGGAUUAAUUCGAUGCACGCGAAGAACCUUACCAAGGCUUGACAUACACCGGAAACGGCCAGAGAUGGUUGCCCCCUUGUGGUCGGUGUACAGGUGGUGCAUGGUUGUCGUCAGCUCGUGUCGUGAGAUGUUGGGUUAAGUCCCGCAACGAGCGCAACCCUCGUUCUAUGUUGCCAGCGCGUUAUGGCGGGGACUCAUAGGAGACUGCCGGGGUCAACUCGGAGGAAGGUGGGGAUGACGUCAAAUCAUCAUGCCCCUUAUGUCUUGGGCUUCACGCAUGCUACAAUGGCCGGUACAAAGGGCUGCGAUACCGUAAGGUGGAGCGAAUCCCAAAAAGCCGGUCUCAGUUCGGAUUGAGGUCUGCAACUCGACCUCAUGAAGUCGGAGUCGCUAGUAAUCGCAGAUCAGCAACGCUGCGGUGAAUACGUUCCCGGGCCUUGUACACACCGCCCGUCAAGUCAUGAAAGUCGGUAACACCCGAAGCCGGUGGCCUAACCCUUGUGGAAGGAGCCGUCGAAGGUGGGAUCGGUGAUUAGGACUAAGUCGUACAGU